AACGCUAGCUACAGGCUUAACACAUGCAAGUCGAGGGGCAGCAUGAUUGAAGCUUACUUCAAUUGAUGGCGACCGGCGCACGGGUGAGUAACACGUAUCCAACCUUCCGUACACUCAGGGAUAGCCUUUCGAAAGAAAGAUUAAUACCUGAUGGUAUCUUAAGCACACAUGUAAUUAAGAUUAAAGAUUUAUCGGUGUACGAUGGGGAUGCGUUCCAUUAGAUAGUAGGCGGGGUACCGGCCCACCUAGUCGACGAUGGAUAGGGGUUCUGAGAGGAAGGUCCCCCACAUUGGAACUGAGACACGGUCCAAACUCCUACGGGAGGCAGCAGUGAGGAAUAUUGGUCAAUGGGCGCGAGCCUGAACCAGCCAAGUAGCGUGAAGGAUGAAGGUCCUACGGAUUGUAAACUUCUUUUAUAAGGGAAUAAAGUCACCUACGUGUAGGUGUUUGUAUGUACCUUAUGAAUAAGCAUCGGCUAACUCCGUGCCAGCAGCCGCGGUAAUACGGAGGAUGCGAGCGUUAUCCGGAUUUAUUGGGUUUAAAGGGAGCGUAGACGGGUCGUUAAGUCAGCUGUGAAAGUUUGAGGCUCAACCUUAAAAUUGCAGUUGAUACUGGCGUCCUUGAGUACGGUUGAGGCAGGCGGAAUUCGUGGUGUAGCGGUGAAAUGCUUAGAUAUCACGAAGAACUCCGAUUG
Molecule: ribosomal RNA, 694 nt
Filed under: uncultured bacterium
Lineage: Bacteria
Description: bacterial SSU rRNA
Rfam family: Bacterial small subunit ribosomal RNA
Source: RNAcentral